AUGGCGGAAACCAAGACUGCGCCUGCGGCGGAGGAUGGCAGUAGGAAGAAGACGGUGGUGCUGGUGGCCGUGGACGACAGCGACCACAGCUACCGCGCGCUCGAGUGGGCCGUGCGGCACGCGGCGACGGCCGGCGUGGCGGCCGAGCUCGUCGUCGUCCACGCCAAGCCGCCCGCGUCCUCCGUCGUCACCUUCGGCAGCCCUGCCGCCGCCGGGGACGUGGUGAGGGUGGUGGAUGCGGACCUGCGGAAGAGGGCCGAGGACGUCGUUGACAGGGCGCGACGCCUCUGCGUCGCCAACUCGGUGCAUGGUCUGAUAGAGGUGAUGGAAGGAGAGGCGAGGUACGUGCUCUGCGACGCCGUCGACAAGCACCACGCCGAUCUGCUCGUCGUCGGCAGCCAUGGCUACGGUGCAAUCAAGAGGGCAUUUCUCGGGAGCGUGAGCGACUACUGCGCCCACCAUGCGCACUGCUCCGUCAUGAUAGUCAAGCAGCCCAAGACCAAGAAAUGA
This 510-nucleotide ribosomal RNA is filed under the name Triticum aestivum (bread wheat). RNAcentral describes it as "partial small subunit ribosomal RNA". The record is from RNAcentral. Lineage: Eukaryota; Viridiplantae; Streptophyta; Magnoliopsida; Poales; Poaceae.